Molecule: ribosomal RNA, 497 nt
Filed under: uncultured bacterium
Lineage: Bacteria
Description: partial 16S ribosomal RNA
Rfam family: Bacterial small subunit ribosomal RNA
Source: RNAcentral
GAUGAACGCUGGCGGCGUGCCUAAUACAUGCAAGUCGAGCGAACGGACGAGAAGCUUGCUUCUCUGAUGUUAGCGGCGGACGGGUGAGUAACACGUGGAUAACCUACCUAUAAGACUGGGAUAACUUCGGGAAACCGGAGCUAAUACCGGAUAAUAUUUUGAACCGCAUGGUUCAAAAGUGAAAGACGGUCUUGCUGUCACUUAUAGAUGGAUCCGCGCUGCAUUAGCUAGUUGGUAAGGUAACGGCUUACCAAGGCAACGAUGCAUAGCCGACCUGAGAGGGUGGUCGGCCACACUGGAACUGAGACACGGUCCAGACUCCUACGGGAGGCAGCAGUAGGGAAUCUUCCGCAAUGGGCGAGAGCCUGACGGAGCAACGCCGCGUGAGUGAUGAAGGUCUUCGGAUCGUAAAACUCUGUUAUUAGGGAAGAACAUAUGUGUAAGUAACUGUGCACAUCUUGACGGUACCUAAUCAGAAAGCCACGGCUAACUACGUG